AGUGAACGCUGGCGGUAGGCCUAACACAUGCAAGUCGAACGGCAGCACAGUAAGAGCUUGCUCUUACGGGUGGCGAGUGGCGGACGGGUGAGGAAUACAUCGGAAUCUACUUUUUCGUGGGGGAUAACGUAGGGAAACUUACGCUAAUACCGCAUACGACCUACGGGUGAAAGCAGGGGAUCUUCGGACCUUGCGCGAUUGAAUGAGCCGAUGUCGGAUUAGCUAGUUGGCGGGGUAAAGGCCCACCAAGGCGACGAUCCGUAGCUGGUCUGAGAGGAUGAUCGGCCACACUGGAACUGAGACACGGUCCAGACUCCUACGGGAGGCAGCAGUGGGGAAUAUUGGGCAAUGGGCGCAAGCCUGAUCCAGCCAUACCGCGUGGGUGAAGAAGGCCUUCGGGUCGUAAAGCCCUUUUGUUGGGAAAGAAAAGCAGCAGGUUAAUACGCCGCUGUUCUGACGGUACCCAAAGAAUAAGCACCGGCUAACUUCGUG
Molecule: ribosomal RNA, 492 nt
Filed under: uncultured bacterium
Lineage: Bacteria
Description: partial 16S ribosomal RNA
Rfam family: Bacterial small subunit ribosomal RNA
Source: RNAcentral